Molecule: ribosomal RNA, 407 nt
Filed under: uncultured microorganism
Description: bacterial SSU rRNA
Rfam family: Bacterial small subunit ribosomal RNA
Source: RNAcentral
CAGCCGCCGCGGUAAUACGUAGGGGGCGAGCGUUACACGGAUUCACUGGGCGUAAAGCGGGUGUAGGCGGCUCGGUAAGUCGGGUGUGAAAUCCCACAGCUCAACUGUGGAAUUGCGCCCGAAACUGCUGAGCUUGGGGCCGGUAGAGGGAGACGGAACUGCCGGUGUAGGGGUGAAAUCCGUAGAUAUCGGCAGGAACGCCGGUGGGGAAGCCGGUCUCCUGGGCCGCGCCCGACGCUGAGACCCGAAAGCUAGGGGAGCAAACCGGAUUAGAUACCCGGGUAGUCCUAGCCGUAAACGAUGCCCACUAGGUGUGGGGGAUUAAUUCCUCCGUGCUGUAGCUAACGCGUUAAGUGGGCCGCCUGGGGAGUACGCCCGCAAGGGUGAAACUUAAAGGAAUUGGCGGG